CUUUUGCUAUCAGCCUGUCUGUCCGUUUCUAUUUCAUCCCCUCCCUGCCUAUCUCAGGCUCUUCCCAUCUCUGCAUUAUUUCUGUCUCUUUCUGUUUCUUUCUAGUUACCUGUCUCUUUUCCUCUCUCUCUUUCUCCCUGUGUCUCACUGCCUGCCUCUAUGUCUAAGUCUCUCUGCCCCUUCUCUCUUUCUCUCCCCCAACCCCCAUCAUCUCUCUUUCUCUCAGGGUCUUUGUUUCUCUCCCACUAGAGGCCUGGUCCCCAUAAAUAGGUGUUGUGGGGGGAGGGUUGGGCAGAGCCGCUACUGAAAGACAUUUUCCUGGCAUGGAGGCCCUUUGGUGGGGAGGUCAGUUUAACCCGGUGACAGCAGCUUUUCCGUCCUCUCCCACCCAGGCUCCAGGAGGCCAGAGCUCUACUGAAGCGGCGGCGGGCCCGGGGCCCCCUGCCAAGAUGUGGAUGAGUGUGCCCGAAGCCCCCCACCCUGCACCUACGGCCGGUGUGAGAACACAGAAGGCAGCUUCCAGUGUGUCUGCCCCAUGGGCUUUCAACCCAAUGCUGCUGGCUCCGAGUGCGAGGAUGUGGAUGAGUGUGAGAACCACCUCGCAUGCCCUGGGCAGGAGUGUGUGAACUCGCCCGGCUCCUUCCAGUGCAGGGCCUGUCCUUCUGGCCACCACCUGCACCGUGGCAGAUGCACUGAUGUGGACGAAUGCAGUUCGGGUGCCCCUCCCUGUGGUCCCCACGGCCACUGCACUAACACCGAAGGCUCCUUCCGCUGCAGCUGCGCGCCAGGCUACCGGGCGCCGUCGGGUCGG
Molecule: small RNA, 811 nt
Filed under: Pan troglodytes (chimpanzee)
Lineage: Eukaryota; Metazoa; Chordata; Mammalia; Primates; Hominidae
Description: retained intron
Source: RNAcentral